UACGAAGGGGGCUAGCGUUGCUCGGAAUCACUGGGCGUAAAGCGCACGUAGGCGGCUUCUUAAGUCAGGGGUGAAAUCCUGGAGCUCAACUCUAGAACUGCCUUUGAUACUGGGAGGCUCGAGUCCGGAAGAGGUGAGUGGAACUGCGAGUGUAGAGGUGAAAUUCGUAGAUAUUCGCAAGAACACCAGUGGCGAAGGCGGCUCACUGGUCCGGUACUGACGCUGAGGUGCGAAAGCGUGGGGAGCAAACAGG
This 253-nucleotide ribosomal RNA is filed under the name uncultured bacterium. Its description in RNAcentral is "partial 16S ribosomal RNA". It matches the Rfam family "Bacterial small subunit ribosomal RNA", at positions 524 to 776 of the family's 1533-position model. The record is from RNAcentral.